This 1603-nucleotide long non-coding RNA is filed under the name Homo sapiens (human). RNAcentral's name for it is "HSALNT0376350". Lineage: Eukaryota; Metazoa; Chordata; Mammalia; Primates; Hominidae. The record is from RNAcentral.
UGCGCAUGCGCAAUGCCAGCCAGUGCCUGCGCGGCUUGCUCCAGCAAGGUAAAAUUUCCCACUGCGAGGCAGGCAGUGAUGCUGCGGCCGCUUCGCACUGUGGCUCCUGCCGACCGCCAGGCGCUGUUACAGUGGAUGCGAACUAACCGUAAGUCAUUAUAUCGUACUGCAGAAACCAGCUCAACUAUGCAAAACUACCACCAGGACUGGCCGACACCAGGAGGGAUUCCAGAGACCACACUGCAGGGAGCAUACAGAAAGAAAAUUAAGAGAUCAGAUGCAGCAGCAGCCGGAACCCACAGUUCACCUUGGUGCAUUCCUUUAUGAUGAAGACUUAUUGAUUCAUUAUAUGAGAAAGGAAAAAUGAGCAGAAACUACUGUAUGAUGUGCAGCUCACACCAGACAGCAACUUUAGCACAUGUGCCUCACUCUUCAUGGUAAAUGUUUUACUGAAGAAUAACAUACAGAAAAGUGGACAAGUCUUAACUGCACAGCUCAAUGAAUUUCCAUGAAGUAAAUAUACCCAUAUGAUAAUCCAGCUCAAGAAACAGAAAAUCACUACCACCCCAGAAGACUGCCUUAUACUACCAUCUUUUAAGAGUGAAUCACACAUGGGAUAAGAUUAGCAUAUUCGUAGUCUGGAAAAUGCUAUACAAAGAAUGUAAAGCAUGAAACUACUUGUGGACCAAAUGAAAAACUGUGGAGCAGAUUAUGAUGCAGUUAGACCUUGCUUGAAUGACUUUGACCCACAAAAGCAGAGUAAUUUAUCCCUACUUACAGAGAGAUUGCCCUACGUGUAACAGCUGCAUACAAAAAAGUUAUAAAAUUAUCAUUGGUUUAACAAGGAUAAGUGAAAAACAUUAAAAUUCUCCAACUGAACAAGGUGUGUCUGUUUCAUUGAUUGGCUGACUGUCAAAUCGGAAUCUGAUCUGCCCCAUUGACAAUGCCUUGGGCUUUUCCUCGGCCAUGGCAAAUGCCAGAGUCUUCUCAGCUGCCGCUUCACAAAAGAGGUACCAGCUUCUCACUGAACGAACACAGUGCAGCACCAGGAGUGACAGAAGAAGGAGGCGGCAGCGGUGGUUGAGGGACAGGGUGCGUGCACGUCCAAGUACAGUUCUUAAAAUGUUGAGGGCAUACAACAUAUGCUCAAUAAAUACCUGAUUUUUAAAAAAGACAAUGACUAUGGAAAACUCUUGAUCAUUAACCCGAAGGGAGAGUCUAGUUUCCAGGAAGCAUUUGUUUGUAUACACUAUUUAACCCAAGGAUACACUCUUUUCUCCGUGGCAGCGUGACUCAUCUUAGUCUCCAAUUUUUGACCUGGUAAGGCAUCUUUUUUGGUCUCUUAAUUUCUGGCUCACUUGGCCCUGAUUUGAUGUGAAUGUUCUUACUGACAUCCCAGUGACUGAUUCUCAGCACACCACAACCCCUUUUGGUUCCUACCCUAUCUUCUCUGUGUUGGCAACUGGACUCGCCUAUUCUUCAGGACUUUCAGGAGUGCACACUCUGGUAGCUCUCUAUUGACUUUACUGCUCACUCAUUCUUUUUCUUUUUUUUUGGAGACGGAGUCUCGCUCUGUUGCCCAGGCUGGAGUGCAGUGGCGCGA